This 2003-nucleotide long non-coding RNA is filed under the name Equus caballus (horse). Its description in RNAcentral is "lncRNA (ENSECAG00000053856.1)". The record is from RNAcentral. Lineage: Eukaryota; Metazoa; Chordata; Mammalia; Perissodactyla; Equidae.
CCCUUUUUCUAGUCCCAGCUAAAAAAGGAAGAAUUUAUUUCUACUCAACCCUUUACUUGUCAGUUUUAGGUUUAUUCAAAAGCACAUUUACAGAAAACACUCUGAAUGAAAAACCACUCUGGAACAUAAGGACACAGGCCUCUGUUGUGGGUUGUUUUUUCUUCUUCUUCUUCCUUCCAUUGGUUAUCAUUCCUCUUCUAAAUUAAAGGUGAAAUUGAUGAGAAUUAGACUGUCCACAAGCUCGAAAAGCAAUUGCUUAAAUAAUGACAUUCAAAUAGAUCAUUUGAUAUCUUGUAAAUGUCAAGUGAGGGUCAUUUUUCAAAACACCACAUUUGUUCAACUGGGUCAAAUGGACAGCACACUGUGUCCAGCUUCAGUGGGUAGAGCCCUGUCUCCUAAUUUCUGUUGGUCCUUGGGCGGCAACACCUUUCAGCAGCACGUCUGCUACCGCGCGCGUGUGUGUGUGUGUGUGUGUGUGUGUGUGUGUGAGGGUGGGUGGGGAGGAGGAAGGAGUCAGCACAAGAAGGAGACCUUUCACUUCUUCUUAAAAUGUUGCGGUUAAUUUCUUCAGUGUGGGAAAAAGAAAAUUUUGUCAAGAUUAAGAAAAAACAAAGACAGUGUCCCACUCACAAAACGAUGUCUACCCUCCCUCUCCGAAUUUGGUCUUUGGGUCUCUAAGGCACCCUCUGCUCUUUUCAUCUCUCCACCAAAUCAUGCCAUCUGGUUUCCUACCUUAUGAAAUAUUAUCGACCAGCUUGAAAUGAAAGUGGGUUGUAAAUUAAUGCAUGCAACGUGGUCUCCCAUCGGGCGGGUGGGGCUGGGAAGCCACAGCUUUUAGAAUGUUAAAUAUUUAUGGUUAUCAUGUCAACCAAAAUAUGAACUUGCACAAAGAAGAACAUGAUGCGGAUUUCAUUGAAAACAUUUGCCUCACUUACUGUGUCCCAGAGAAACUUCAGAAACCUGGGGCCGGUGCGGAUGUGCACCUUGGAUAUGAGCUUUACAGGCUCCCGGAAGAGAAAUGAAGAGCCCUGUAGUAAAUGACUAGAAAGAGCAGCCAGUCCCUCAGAGGAGGGUUCCCGUCUUUCCAGGUCGAGAAAUGAGUGGCUCGCUUAGGUUAUCUGCUUCUCCAUCCUUCCAUCUGGCCGAGUUCUUCACGCCCUCAACCCCAGUCGCCCCCAAUCAUGGAAACGCAAGUCACUCAUCAACUAUUCUUCUAAAAUUUGUUGCUGUGGAUCAUUUAUUGCAGACAAUAAUUGUUUUAUCUUUGUUAUCAUUAUUGUUGGAAUUUUAAAUGCCUGAGCCUAAAUAUUUGAGAUGUGUUAACUACAAAUCUGUCAACAAUUACAGAUUUAUGAAAGCUUAAAGAUAUUUUUGAAUCUAGAAUAAUAUUGGAGAAGAUGAAACUAAAUUCUCUUUUGGACUGCGUUACCAUAAGGAAGUGAAACUACCUCCCAAGGCUUGGGAAGGAACACAAAAUAACCUCAUAUAUUUUGUUCUCAUGGCCAAAAAUAUUAGGAGGAAAAAUCAAUAAAUUCACAAUGUAAUUUGUAAGCAAAAAGUGGGAAGGUGAGUUUAGAAACCCCUGCAAACAUAUCAACAUAUCAAGGAUGCCCCUGAGACACCAGCUGGGUUCCAGAAGGAGUGGCACUCUAAAUACGGCCUGGCUCACUCUACCAAGUAGGUUUCUGCCUGAAAGGCUUCAAAACCUUUGAGCCCAAGUUCAGAUAAUAACUUAUAUCCCCCAUCUUAAUCUUUAAAAAACAAUGUAAGGGGCCGGCCUGGUGGCACAGAGAUUAAGUUCACACGUUCUACUUCGAUGGCCCGGGGUUCGCUGGUUUGGAUCCUGGGUGCAGACAUGGCACUGCUUGGAAGCCAUGCUGUGGCAGGCAUCUCACAUAUAAAGUAGAGGAAGAUGGGCAUGAUGUUAGCUCAGGGCCAGUCUUCCUCAGCAAAAAGAGGAGGAUUGGUGGCAGAUGUUGCGCUAAUCUUCCUAAAAGAAAAAA